UGAGGAAUAUUGGUCAAUGGGCGAGAGCCUGAACCAGCCAAGUAGCGUGCAGGAUGACGGCCCUAUGGGUUGUAAACUGCUUUUAUGUGGGGAUAAAGUGCGUGACGUGUCAUGCAUUGCAGGUACCACAUGAAUAAGGACCGGCUAAUUCCGUGCCAGCAGCCGCGGUAAUACGGAAGGUCCGGGCGUUAUCCGGAUUUAUUGGGUUUAAAGGGAGCGUAGGCCGUUUGGUAAGCGUGUUGUGAAAUGUAGGAGCUCAACUUCUAGAUUGCAGCGCGAACUGUCAGACUUGAGUGCGCACAACGUAGGCGGAAUUCAUGGUGUAGCGGUGAAAUGCUUAGAUAUCAUGAAGAACUCCGAUUGCGAAGGCAGCUUACGGGGGCGCAACUGACGCUGAAGCUCGAAGGUGCGGGUAUCGAACAGG
RNAcentral lists this ribosomal RNA (424 nucleotides) under Verrucomicrobiota bacterium. Its description in RNAcentral is "Verrucomicrobia bacterium partial 16S ribosomal RNA". It matches the Rfam family "Bacterial small subunit ribosomal RNA", at positions 355 to 776 of the family's 1533-position model. Lineage: Bacteria; Pseudomonadati; Verrucomicrobiota. The record is from RNAcentral.